RNAcentral lists this long non-coding RNA (910 nucleotides) under Homo sapiens (human). Its description in RNAcentral is "HSALNT0069435". Lineage: Eukaryota; Metazoa; Chordata; Mammalia; Primates; Hominidae. The record is from RNAcentral.
UCAGUUGAAUGGCUUGUUCAUUACAUGAUUUUAAUCAAGUAUCUUACCCUCUCUGUAUCUGUAAAAUGUGGACAGGUAAAUGGGAUUUGCAUAUAAAACCUUUCUAUAUGAUCAAAAGCAAUAUGAAAAUGUAACAUUUUUUAUUCUUAUCACUUUUUUUCCCACGAAAGAUAAUAAUACUUGUAUCUGCACAGCAACUUACUUGAGAUAUGCACAGAGUGAACCAUCUAGGUAUGCCCAUUUUUCAAGGAAGAAACUGCAGUUGGAAAACAAGGGAGAUCAGGUCUCUCUGGUCAAUCUUUCAGCAAUUUUUUACUGCAUGUGACUCUGUGCCAGGUCCUUUUCUAAGUGCUAGGAACAGGUUGAAGAAGACUGUGCCCUACUUACCACAACUGAGGAGCUACAUAAGGUUUUGGAGCUAUUAAAAAAAAAUUAGUCCUAAUUUUUUGACUCAAGGUGCUCAUAGCACAUUGGGAAAGAAAGGUUGAUGUACAACCAGAUAGUUGUGACUGAUUUGAACAAAUUUAUAGGAAAAGUGUUCAGAACUGACGACAUUAUAUUUCUCUUAUUUUUCAUAUUCUUGGCCAAAGUCUCAUUUGCUUCAAUUUGCCGAAAGAUCAAAUACUCUCCUGAGUCCUUCUUUUCUCUCCACGAACUUGCCAAGAAUUCUGGGAUCAACUCUAUUUCCAUAAAACAGGAAGAGAGAAAAGGAAAAUUAUAAGGCCCCUUGGGGUCACUGGAUUUUGCACCAUCAGAUACAUUUUGAUAUUAGAAGAUAAAGAGAUUGGCCCGAAACUGGGAUGGAGGAGAAGCAGCCAAAGAGUUGUUCUGUUUCUUAAGUUACUUUGAAGGUUGUACACUUUUAAUAUUCAUUUUGAGGAAUAAAUAAUUUAGACAUCCAAUUAAAUAC